Non-coding RNA from Stegodyphus mimosarum, 73 nucleotides. Lineage: Eukaryota; Metazoa; Arthropoda; Arachnida; Araneae; Eresidae. The record is from Rfam.
GCCUUCGUGGCGUAGUGGUCAACACUCUGGGCGCGUAUUCCAGAGAUCCGUGUUUCGAGUCCCGGUGAAGGCG